RNAcentral lists this long non-coding RNA (8393 nucleotides) under Daucus carota (carrot). Its description in RNAcentral is "long non-coding RNA (DCAR_LNC000940)". Lineage: Eukaryota; Viridiplantae; Streptophyta; Magnoliopsida; Apiales; Apiaceae. The record is from RNAcentral.
GCAGUAAUUUGUUGGUUUUUCCAUCUCUACAAAAGUUGAUGCUAUUACAAACUCUCAAAUUUGAUACGAAGAAGAAGAUAUAUGUUUUACCAUGGAUGCCAAGAGAUGUUCUGGUCAAGCUGGAUUGUUUGCGGCAUCUGUAUUUGCCUAAAGUUCAAGUUAACCUUAUGGGAAGGGAAUCGAAAUUUCGAUUUAAUGGGUUGAGCAAGUUAGAGACACUGGAGAACUUUAACGCUAGUUGGUGUGAGGUUAAGGAUCUACGUGAACUAAUCAAUCUUCGGAAACUAACGCUAGCAGUGAUAGCUAGCUAUGAUAUUCUGGAGGAAAUGAUGAAAAACUUGGCUGAUAUAGCCUCAUCACCAUCUUCAUGUCUGAGGUACUUGGGUGUUACUAUUAGUCAUUGUCAUCUCGAGCUGAACAAUGGUCUUACGAUCUUAAAACAAUUGGUAUAUGCUGAAAAUUUGAACCUUCGGGAUUUGAAAAUAUAUGGCCCUAUCCCAGAGGUGGGUCUAAUAUUUCCGCUGCAUGUAUCUACAAUUCGUAUUACAAAAUUAACUUUAGCGAGAUCACACCUAGAAGAAGACCCAAUGCCAAUACUGGAAAUGCUUCCAAUGUUGGAUGUUCUCCAUAUGUGUACGGAUACCUAUGUGGGGAAGGAGAUGGUGUGCUCGGCAACCGGUUUUCCUAAACUCACCUAUCUUUUUUUGGACAGCUUCCCGAACCUUGAAAAAUGGAGGGUGGAGGAAGGAAGCAUGCCCAUCCUUUUAUACUUGUCUAUUGAAAGAUGUAACAAGUUGGAGGAGCUUCCACGAGGCCUGGUGUUCCUCAACUCCCUUCGAGUACUAAAAAUAUUUCAAAUGCCUCAAGAUUUCAAUGAUAGACUUAUAAGAGAAGAUGAAGAAGGACCCGACUUUCACAAAAUUUCUCACGUUCGUAGAGUCCGCAUCGACGAUCUGGUAUACGAUUUCUUAUAAGGGAUGUUCUUGUAGGUCGUAACGUUUUCUGUUAUAAUCCCAAAGAACAAAUUGCUUGAGUAGCAACUUAUCAAACAAUCUUAUAUAUACCUUUAUCUUCAAAAAAAAAAUCUUAAAUAUACCUUCAAAAUUUUAUAAUAUUUUAUUAAAAUUUUCAUUUUCAAUCAUAGUUUUGUAUGAUUAAUGUAGUUUUUAAUAUAAAAGAGUUAAAAAAUACUUUUACAUAUAACUGAAUCCAAUUUUCAAUAAUAGCGACUGUAAAAAAUAUACUAGCUUAUAACCCGUGCAAUGCACGGGCGGUUAUAAUAUGUGUUAUUAUAUUAUAUAUAUUUUAAAUUUAACUAAUUUUAUUUUGAAAAUUAAAUCAUGAUAUAAUAAUAUGAUUAAAUAAAUUUUUUAUUUAACAACUGAAUAAAUUGUUAGCAGUUAAGUCUUUCAAAUAGCUAAUUAAAAAUUAAGUCGAACAUAUAUAUUUUAAUGAAGAUGUUAAAAUAUAUAUUUUUAUAUGUUAUAAUUUAAUAAGACCUAUAAACCCAGAUAUAUAUCGACCAAUCAAUAUUUCGUUAUUAAUGAUUAAUAAUAUCGUAUAGAAUAUAUUAAUAAGUUAAAGAGACGCGUAAAUCCAAAUAUCGACCUAUCAUACUGACUAAUUUAUAAUAUGUUAUAAAUUAAAGAGGUUCGGGGUUGAAUACCAACCGGAUCGCCAAACUCGACCGACAAAUUGAACUUUUCUUAUUUCGACUAAUGUUUUACUUUUAAUAAUAUAGUAUAGAUAUAUAAUAAUAUUGUCUUUUUUAUAUGUAUGUUCCAUGUGUUAUAUAUGUUUAGAAAAAUCCGAUUUUAGUUAGGAAUGUGAAAAAGAUAAUGUCUUUUAGUUAAAAAGGGUAAUUGCUAUCUUGUCCAAUAUUAUUUUUAGAAAAUUGAGUUUUUUAAGUUAGAAAAUAUAAAAAAGAUAAUAGUAUUAGUUAAAAAAGAUGUUUGAUUAGAUAAAUAGGCUCAUAACUCAGCCCAAGUACCGACCGACCAAACUUUGAAUGUUUCGACUUCAAUAGUAUAGUAAUUUUGAAGUAUUAAUAUAAUUUUUAUAAGCCGCUGCAACGCGCGGCUUCUCAGCUAGUUAUUAUAAAUACAGGAUUCCUUAAACAACUUACAAUGGAAGAUGUAAUAGUUUUAUGAAAAUUAUUAUUAAUAUUAAAAUUAAAACACUAACUUUUAUUAUUUAAAAGUUAAACAACUGCAGGACUCUAAACCUUUAAAAUGUGAAUUAAAAAAAAGUUCACUUUUUUCAACAAAGAAGUUCUGUUGGUGUUGAAUCGAAUUUGAUUGCAAGUUGCCGGAAUUAAUUAAUAAUUACAAUCAUAUUUUCAUAAGACUUUUAAAAAGAUAGUAACUCCAAAAAAUUCUACAAAGAUGGUGUAUCCUUAAUUUUAUACUCUUGGGGCAAAACAAAGUUUUAUAUUCACAACAAGCUAUCAGUUCUAUACAAUUACAAUCAUCAUAUCUAUACUAUAUUAUUGAAACCGAAACAUUAAAAGUUUGGUCGGUCGGUAUUUGAGCCAAAAUACGAGUUUAUCAGUUAUUUUUUAACUAAAAUAUAUCUUCUUUUUAAUAUUUUCUAAAUAAAAAAACUCAAACUUUCAAAAUAACAUCGAGCAACAUAGUAAUUACCUUUUUAACUAAAACAAUUAUCAUUUUUAGAUUUUCUAACUAAAAAGCCGAGCUUCUAUUAUUAACACGGGCUACAUUAACAUUAUUUUAAAAUACUUUAACGGUCUCACUUUAAAAGUAAUAUUAUAAAUCUAUAUUAUACCAUUAAAGCCGAAACAUGAAAAGUUCGGUCGGUCAAUUGUUCGGCCGGUCACUCGAGUUUAGUGAGCCUGUUAGUAUUCGACCCAUAAACAUCUUUAAUUAAUAAAAUAUUAUAAUAUUAAAAACACUCAAUUUCCUAAAAAUAAUAUUAGAUUAUGAAUAACAUAGCAACUACUUUUUAUGAUUAAAACACAUUAUCAUUUUCAUAUUCGUAAUCAAAAAAUCGUUUUUUUAAAAAUAACACAUGCAAUAUACAUAUAAAAAGAUAAUAUUAUUAUAUAUAAUUAUUAAUAUACAACCGAUGAUAUUUUUCAAUAAAAUGCAUUAAUGCUGUUUUUAAUUACUCCAUGUUAUCAUUUCAAAAUAAUAUCAUAGAUCUAUACUAUCUAUUUAUACCCUACUAUGCUAUAUUAUUAUUAUUAUUAUUAUUAUUAUUAUUAUUAUUAUUAUUAUUAUUAUUAUUAUUAUUAUUAUUAUUAUUAUUAUUCUUUUAAAAUUGAAAAAUUAAUAAUUUUAUCGGUCGGUAGAGUUUUAUCAGCCGCUCGUAUUAUUCUACGGGCCUCCUUGAUAUAUAACGUGUUCUAAUAAACUUUUUAUUAUCAAUUAAGUCAAAAAAUAUAAAAAUUCGGUUAGUAUGAUCGAUUUCUGUUUCAAUUAAAUUUAUGAUUUAAACGAUAAAAUUAUAAAUAUUAUAAAUCAACCGUGCAUGGAACGGGUUAUAAACUAGUAUUAAUUAUUAUGAUAGAAUAGUUAUUAUAUUUUAAUAUUGGUCCUGAGAGAUGAAAUUUUUUAUGAAUUUAGAAAAUUAAUCACUUUACAGAAUAUUAAUUUAUAGAAAUUUUACUAUAUUAGGUGUUGAUUUUCUUAUGUUAGAAUAUUAUUUAAUAAACAAGUAGGAUAAUUUAUAAGGAUUGUAUUGGAUUAGGUGCUGAAUUUCUUAUUUUAAUUAUUAUUUAAUAGGUAGGUAGCGUUAUUUGUCGUGGAUGAAAGUGACACAAAUAUUGAUAUGAGUCAUUUUAUAAUUGUUUAGUAAUAUACCGUAGAAUUCCGCCAGCUAAUCGGUUGUUAAACUUUGCUUUUACAUGCCCAUCGUUUAGUAUACAAUGAAUCAAUGAUUGUCAUUUAUUUAGGAAUUAAAUAAUGAAUAACUCACACUUGUUCGGUUUAAUCUCAAAUUAGGGUUUUUCUCAAAAAAAAAAAAAAAAAUCUCAAAUUAGGGUUUUGAGAGUCGACUCCCAAAACUGGUAGUCACUUCUCCAUUCUUCACCUUCAUCCUCUUCAUCCACCAAAUCCUUUUCGCUCUCCCAUCUUAUUCACUAUUUAUCAGGUUUUUUGUUUUUCAAUAAAAGCGAGUGUUGCUUAUACCUCGAAGAUUCCAAUCGAGUUUUAUUCUCGGAUCUGUUUCGGAUUUGAGCUUGGGCUUGAUUGUUUUCUGAAUAAAUCAGAUCUUUUGAAAUCAAAGGUCCGAUCAUGUUUUCCCAUCUCGCCUUUUGGCGUGUGUUGAUUUAGUACCCAAUUUUUGGGUGAUUCUGCGUUGUUACACUUGUGGUUGUUAUGUUUUUCUGUGUUAUCAGUGAGAAUGAUUUGGAUGGAGUUUUGGGAGAUCUAACUUAUCGCAUCAUUAAUACUUUCGGCAUGUCUAUAGCUGGCUCCCGGCAUGUAGAUAGCUGGGGUAUGCUUGGAACGGUGGCGAUCGCAUGUGCUCACCUUUCACAAAUUAUAGUUGUUCAUUAUUCGAGGACUCUUGUUACUCAUUGCUUAGUUUUUACAACUGAGUCGCCUGAACACCGUAACAGCCAUGGAACUAUUGUGAAGGUCAAUUGUGAAGCUACCAUUUUCGCGAUUGAUGUAGGCUGGAUUACUCGAGCCUUUGUAUUCAUUUUUAGUUUCAAUGUAUCCAGUGUGUUAAGCAGUCUGGAAACAAUGCGGCUAUUUGUUUAGCUCGUUUUAUUGUUUAUCAACCUGAUUGCAUUGUCUGUUGGAGAUUUGUCCCGACUAGACUUGUUUUAAUUUAUUGAAAUGAAUUUGCAUUUUGUCAAAAAUAAAUAAAUAAUGAAUAACUCCAUAUACAGGAGUAGGUUAAUAGUAGUAUUAUUCUGUUGAUUCCAUGCAGUUCAACUAUCAGGAAUGUUUGUUUACGAGAAGCUGGGGUUUGCUUCUAACUGCUUCUUUUGACCCGUUUGUGUAAAAAAGUAGAAGCACUUUUGAGAAUGCUAUCUUCUCUCUCACAGCUUCUGUUUAUUUUCCAAACACUUUAUUAACUUAUUUAAUUCUCACUUCUACUCCAUUUCUUUACUAUAAGCAAGAAAUUACAAUUUUUAAGCUAACUCAAACAGGCCCAUCAUUUUCUCUGGUGUAAACUUGACCGGUCUAGCUCGAGUAUAGUCGACCCAAAUUAUUUAUUGUGCUAGCUAUGCUAACACCGACUCUAUAACUAACAAUCCCUGUGGCGGGACGUGACAUCGAUAAAAGUUAGUAAUUAAAUAUUUAUAUAAAAGAAAUUAAAAUUAUAUUAUAAAAAUAUUUUAUAUGAUCUUUAAAAUAUGUGUGUAAAAAAGACAGUAAAUAAAUCAAAGGAACGGAAGGAGUACUAACUACAACUACGGCUAGGGCCCCGGAUGAGACCAUCAGGGUUGCUCUUACCUAAUUAAUAUGCUUCGGCCAAGUGGAAUAGCAGUGAACAAUUAUAGAGAAUAUUCUGAGUGUGCAGAAGAAAGAAACAAGUAUAUGCUGCUUGACUUCUUAUAUUACUGAUUAUUUAAUACGCAAGUAGAGUUAAUAGUUGUUGAUAGAGAUGAUGCAAAAAUUGAUGUUUUGCUUAUGCUGAGUCAUUUCAUCAUUGUUUAUUAGUUAGUUGUAGAAUUAUGAGCUGAUCGGUUGUUAAGCUUUGUUUCUACAUGCUCUUAAUUUGCGAGCUUCAUGCAGUUCAAUUCCUUUAUAUAGGGUUGUUUGGUUUCUGGCAAAGAAUAACAAAUUAAUAUGGCUGAAGCAAUUGUGUCGAUUGUUGUGGGAAGGCUCACUGACUUGUUAAUUGAAAAAGCUCUAAUCCUUCAGGAAGUGAGAGAUGAAAUUGAAGUCGCGGUAGCUGGGCUCGUGCGGAUAAAAACAUUCUUACCAGAUGCUGAUUCAAGGAUGGAUGUAGAAAGAAUCCACAUUUUGCUCCGGGAUGUACGAGAUCUUGCCUAUGAAGCCGAACAUGCUGUUGAAAGUUUUGUUAUUAAAGCCUCAUCCACUAAAAAACCAUUUCAAUGGAUGAACAGAGGCAAGUUUUCAAGGAAGAUGAAAGAUAUACAAAAAAAGAUGUCUAUCUUCUUCGAUUUAUUUUCUGAUUAUAAUAUCAGACCAACUUCUGAAUCAUCAACUUCCUCCAACAGAGAAUCGGGAAAACUAAAGCGAUUUCACUCUUUCACUACUCCUGAACCACAGAUAUUUGUUGGAUUUCAUGAAGAUGUUGAGUGUUUGGUGCGACAUUUGGUGAAUGAAGCUGAUGAUUCAUACCCACUUAUAUCUAUUUGUGGAAUGGGGGGUCUGGGAAAGACCACUCUAGCUCAAAAGAUAUACAAUCACUCUGCCAUCAAGACUCACUUUGCAGCUGGUUUAGCAUGGGUAACAAUCUCGCGGAAGUGGCAAACAGAUCGUGUGUUGCAGAGAAUUCUCAUAUGUCUCGUCCCUGGGAACAAAGAUUCUAUCCUUAAUAUGGACACUGACAAGCUAGUGGAGUAUAUGCUACAAAUCCAGGGAAGGAAAAAAUGUUUGAUAGUUCUCGAUGAUAUAUGGUCAACUGAUGCUUGGGAUGCAUUAAAAGCUGCAUUUCCAGCCGGGAAGUCCAUGAGCAAAUUAAUGCUUACAAGUCGUAAUGCUGAGGUUGCUGAGCAUGUAAAUUUAGACGGAUUCAUUCACAAGCCAGAAUGUCUAAGUCCCGAACAAAGUUGGGAGCUACUCAGGUUGAAAGCACUUCACACAGGAAAUUGUCUAGGUACAUAAUUUUACUUGCGGUAAUCAUGGUUCAUAUACUUUUUUUAUACCAUAUAUUUUGUCCGACAACCUUAACGAACCAUAUUUUUGGUUAUCGGAGUUUGAUAAGUUUGGUUAGAGAUCUUUCCGACAUCCUUAAAGAACAUUGUUCUGUUCAAUAACGUUUUGUUCGUGUUCGUUUGAAUUCGUUAGUUCGUUUACAAACCUGUGUAUUAGAAUUGUAAACGGAUCUAACAGUUCAUUAAGUGCUCUCUUGAGGUUGAGUUAAAAAACUCGAGCUCGAAACACAUAUUUUGUUUAACAACCUUAACAAACUCUAGAAGGUUUAGUAAUUUUUCUCGUGUUGACUCGAAGUUUAUUGGAGUUAAGGUCAUAGAGGGCUCUAACUUGAACCUGUCUUUUAAACAUUUGCAUUACUUAAACGACUAAAUUAGAAAUUAUCUUGGCUUAUGAGUGUAUUCCUAUAUAUACACACACAUUUGAUUCCUGUUUCUUGUUUGUUGCAGACAUUACCAGAGAUGUAAAAAGGAUGGAAGAACUGGGAAGGGAAAUGGUUGAACAUUGUGCUGGUCUUCCGCUAGCUAUAGUCGUUUUGGGUGGAAUUCUUGUAACAAAACCGUCGUUGAGAGAGUGGGAGAAGGUAUAUCGUGAUAGUAAAUCAUCCCUGAAGGCAGGUAAAGGACUGGAUAAAGACUAUCAAAGGGAAAUAUUAAGUUUUUUAAUAUGGAGCUACAAUGAUUUACCGCCUCAGCUGAAGCCAUGCUUUCUAUAUUUAUCUAAGUUUAGUGAAGAUGAAUCGAUAGACAUAGAGACUUUGUAUCAGCUAUGGAUCGCAGAAGGAAUGAUACUCUCGAGUGACAAAAGAGAAGGAGAAACAAUGAUACAAGUGGCCGAAUCAUACAUGGGAGAACUGGUCCAAAGGAGUAUGGUUCAAGUGAGAUUUAACAAUGUGGAAUCAUCACUUACAAAGUUUGAAGAUUGUUCUCUGCACGACCUUAUGAGAGACAUGUCUUUAUUACAAGCCAAAGCAGAAGAUUUUUUUGAAGAAAUACAUUUCCAAAGUGGAAAUGAGUUUCAUCUCAAAUCUACUACAGAGUCAAGGUCAGCUUCCACUCGAGUUGUAAUUCAUUUGGGUGAGGAAUAUUCUAGCAAAAAAGCUAAUUACUACUUUUCCAAGAAACGCAAUGAAAAAUGCUAUCGAUCAAUUUUACUCCUCGGUGAGUUUGGAACAAGAAGUUUGCCAUGGGCGUUGGGUUCACAUGUUGCCAAUUUUAGGUUCCUAAAAGUCUUUUCUGUGGAGAACUAUACCAAUUUUUCUGGUGCAUUUUCUCAUAUUAAUUUUGGAAGAGCAGUAGGGUCCCUUGUUUACUUGCGAUAUCUCAGUUUAAGGGACACUAAUUUGUUGAUUUUUCCAUCUCUACAAAAGUUGGUGCUAUUACAAACUCUAAAAUUGGAUAUAUCCGACAAGAUAUAUGUUUUACCAUGGCUGUCAAGAGAUGUUCUGGUGAAGAUGGAUUGUUUGCGGCAUCUGUAUUUGCCGAAAUUUAAAGUUGACGUUUUGGGAAGGAAAUCGAAAUUACGGUUUAAUAGGUUGAGCAAGUUAGAGACCCUGGAGAACUUUGACACUAGUUGGUG